AGCGCAGGCGGUUUAAUAAGUCUGAAGUUAAAGGCAGUGGCUUAACCAUUGUUCGCUUUGGAAACUGUUAGACUUGAGUGCAGAAGGGGAGAGUGGAAUUCCAUGUGUAGCGGUGAAAUGCGUAGAUAUAUGGAGGAACACCGGUGGCGAAAGCGGCUCUCUGGUCUGUAACUGACGCUGAGGCUCGAAAGCGUGGGGAGCAAACA
This 206-nucleotide ribosomal RNA is filed under the name uncultured bacterium. RNAcentral describes it as "partial 16S ribosomal RNA". It matches the Rfam family "Bacterial small subunit ribosomal RNA", at positions 568 to 774 of the family's 1533-position model. The record is from RNAcentral.